Sarcophilus harrisii (Tasmanian devil) is the source of this 2299-nucleotide long non-coding RNA. NCBI's taxonomy places the organism in Eukaryota, Metazoa, Chordata, Mammalia, Dasyuromorphia, Dasyuridae. The record is from Ensembl.
UAGGACGCUAGUUUACGAGGGGCGGAGCAAAGAUCGAGCUCUACGAUAGGGGGCGGGGCCGAGACCCUAGCAACCAGACUGAGAGCGAGGCUGGGACUAGGACUACUGAACUGGUAGCGGGCAACUGGAGGCGGAGUUGCGGGGCGGGGACGUCCAACCAGAUGAUUCGGGAGGCGGGACUCGAGAGAGAGAUCCUCUACAAGGGGCGGGGUUGAGUCAGUUUCUAGCUUUCAGACAGGGGCUCAGGGGUGGCGCCUGCGCGCAGGAUUCGGGGGCCGGGACCCCAACUAUUUGAGACCCUCUCGGGCUUCCGUGAAGGAGGGUCGCGCGAGCCAGCGAGGGGUCUCGGCCUUGAGCGGAGCCGAGCCACGCGCUGCCUUCGCCCAGGUGCAGAGGCCGGUUAGGAUUUGAAUUCCGUACCUUACGCCCCCAACGGCAGUCGGGCUGAGGGGAGACUGGAGGAACCUACGUCCCGUAUGCGCUGGAAGGAAAGGGAGUUAAUCGGGUCUCCUCUUCACCAUGCCAUUUCUUGAAAAAGAGGAAAACAGUGAACCUAUGUUGAUGAAAAAUGAAACACGCCUGCAAAUCUUAAAGAACAAGGAACAGAGAAAGAGACUUGUUCAUGAAAUUUGUACUUUUUUAGAUAGCAGCCAGUCUGUCCAAGAAAUUGAUGCUUUAAGGACAGAAAACAGGAAGUUAAAAAAUGCGAACUCAAGGCUUCGAUAUAAGACAAAGGAUUGGGCAUUAAAGAAAGAAGAAUAUGAAAAUGAAAUUGAGAGGCUGUCAAGUGAGAUAUCAAAUUAUUUAAAUGUCACCAAUUUUUGGUAUCAAGACACAGAGCUUCUUAAUGAUGAACAUAAUAAUAUACCAAGGGAACAGGCAAACAAUGUAAGCACUCAGACAGAGGGCGCCCUUGGACCAGUAAAAAGCGUCACUGUGAGGAAUGUUACAACACAAACUGGAGAAGAUGAUACAAGUUUCUUUUCUUUUUUCAUCUAAUCCAGACACACAAGUGAAGAACCCUUAUUACAGGACGAAUAUGAACAAUAGAAGAGCAGUUAACUAUUUUUAAAGGCCUGGACAACAGAUUGUUUUAUGUUGUUUCAAGUUUGUCUUCUCAUUGAAUUACUCAAUUCUAUGAAUGAAUUAAAGAGACAUGUUAUCUCAGUUCUUUCAAGUUACUGUAAUUUUGGUUAAAUGUUUAUCAAGAGUAGCUCUUAAAGUACUGAUUUGAGUGUGGUGUAAGGGAUAGAAAGCUGACCCUAGGGCUAGGAAAAUUAGGAGUCAAGUACAUAGCUAUAGUAAGAGUUGAACUCACAUCUUCCUGAUUUCAGGCCUGAUGCUUUAUCCACUGUGCCACUAGUUGACUCUGUUAGAGGGUUCUUUAAAUUGCAGUGAAAGUACCAACUUGUUUUGGUAGAAUGUAAUUCCCUAAAUCAUUGAGAUCACAGGUCCAUUCUCUCUCACUAAACAGUUCCCUAAUAUCUGUAAUUUAGUGGGCACUUAAGUCAGCUUAGGUUAGAUCAGCAUGACCAACAGUGAAUUUUUUUUUCCAACAAUGAAAUUUUAGAAUUUUUAAAAUAAGAAAAUCAUAAAUGAGCCUUGAUAAAACACAAACUACUUGGACCUCGUGAGUGAAGAGGGGAACAAUAUAUUUAAUUCCUUGAUAUUAAAGUAAAUGUCAAAGGCCUUGGUACUUAGGUGAUUGAUUUAUUAGCAUUCACAUUUAGGCUCAGCAGAAUGAGAGUGAGCUAUAGAAAAUGAAUGUAGAAGUCUCAAAAAAUGUAUUGUUAAACAAGUUUAAAACUAUGUUUUGCAAAGAAAGCCAUGAUUAUAUAUUUACUCAUUUAUUUUUGGUGUCAAAAGAGCCACAAACGGCUUGUACAAAUUAAUUUAGGCCUUUUUUUCAGGCACUGGGGAAAUAUAUUUCUAGAUUGUUCUGACAUGGAGUAUCAUUCUGCUAUGAGCCAGAGAGAGAUGCUGUUUAGAAAGUUUUCAGAAAUGACUGUUUUAUUUAAAACUAGCUUUGUCAGCUGGAGAGCAGGAAUAGAACAAGAGUAGACUUGCUGAAUGUGGAUAAGUUGGAGUCAGGAAGAGUUUUUGCCAUUAGUACUCCCAGAACAUCCAGUGUAUGUCCAAUUCCAGUAAGAGCUACAGGCUUGAUUGAGCAUUUAUCUGUAUCAGAAAACACAAAACAUUGUUGGAACGCAGAGACAACUAAUGUCCUAGUUUGAUGCCAGUUGCAUUGAAAAUGCAAAUUAUUUUUGCAUGUGCCUGUUUAAUUGUGUUGUGUGUAUGU